Molecule: transfer RNA, 68 nt
Filed under: marine eukaryotic metagenome
Rfam family: tRNA
About the family: Transfer RNA (tRNA) molecules are approximately 80 nucleotides in length. Their secondary structure includes four short double-helical elements and three loops (D, anti-codon, and T loops).
Source: RNAcentral
GGGAGUAGCUCAGUUGGUAGAGCAUCAGCUUCCCAAGCUGAGGGUCGCCGGUUCGAGUCCGGUCUCCC